CAUUCAAAGAGUGCGUAACAGCUCACUGGUCGAGUGGACAUGCGCCGACAAUACACGGGGCUAAGCUGGACACCGAAGCGGCGGGAUUUUAAUUCAUUAGAAUCGGUAGGGGAGCUUCCCAUGGGCGGAGAAGCCGGAGGGCGACCGACGGUGGAGCGCAUGGGAGUGAGAAUGCUGGCAUGAGUAGCGAGAGACGAGAGAGUAACUCGUCCGCCGUGAACCCGAGGUUUCCUGGGCAAGGCUAAUCCUCCCAGGGUCAGUCGGGGGCUAAGGCGAGGCCGGGAGGCGUAGCCGACGCGCAGCAGGCAGACAUUCCUGCACCGCGCACGCGGCGCUACGACCGACGGGGCGACGGAUGGGGGUGGCUCGGCGGGGUUCUGGACGUCCCCGUGAUGGAGCGCGGCCCGCGGACCAGGGAAAUCCGGUCCGCACACAGGGCGAGGCUCCGGACGAAGCGACUGAGCGAAGCGAGUGAGCCCGAGGUCCCUAGAAAAACCCCUAGGCAGGCGCGUGCGCGCCCGUACCGCAAACCGACACAGGUGGGUGGGUAGAACAUACCGAGGCGAUCGGGUCAACCAUGGUCAAGGAACUCGGCACAAUGGCCCCGUAACUUCGGGAGAAGGGGUGCCCGCGCGUACGUGAACCGGCUUGCCCGGGGAGCGGAGGCGGGCCGCAGUGGAGAGGCCCAAGCGACUGUUUACCAAAAACACAGGACUCUGCAGAAGCCGCAAGGCGACGUAUAGGGUCUGACGCCUGCCCGGUGCCGGAAGGUCACGCGGAGGAGUUAGCGCAUCGCGCGAAGCCCCGAAGCCAAGCCCCGGUAAACGGCGGCCGUAACUAUAACGGUCCUAAGGUAGCGAAAUUCCUUGUCGGGUAAGUUCCGACCUGCACGAAAGGCGCAACGACUUGGGCGCUGUCUCGACCAUGGACCCGGUGAAAUUGCACUGGUCGUGAAGAUGCGACUUACCCGCGGAAGGACGGAAAGACCCCGUGAACCUUCACUGCAGCUUGGCAUUGGCCGCUGGUCCCGCGUGUAGAGGAUAGGCAGGAGGCAUCGAUCCGGAGGCGCCAGCCCCCGGGGAGCCGCCCUUGGAAUACUGCCCUCGCGCGACCGGCGUCCUAACCCGAGGCCGUCAACCGGCUCGGGGACCGUGCCAGGCGGGCAGUUUGACUGGGGCGGUCGCCUCCUAAAGGGUAACGGAGGCGCGCGAAGGUCCGCUCGGGACGGUCGGCAACCGUCCUUUUGAAUGCAAGAGUACAAGCGGGCUUGACUGCGAGGCCCACAAGCCGAGCAGGUGCGAAAGCAGGCUCUAGUGAUCCGGCGGCCCCGAGUGGGUGGGCCGUCGCUCAACGGAUAAAAGGUACUCCGGGGAUAACAGGCUGAUCUUGCCC
This 1392-nucleotide ribosomal RNA is filed under the name human gut metagenome. RNAcentral describes it as "bacterial LSU rRNA". It matches the Rfam family "Bacterial large subunit ribosomal RNA", at positions 1120 to 2493 of the family's 2925-position model. The record is from RNAcentral.